RNAcentral lists this ribosomal RNA (253 nucleotides) under uncultured bacterium. RNAcentral's name for it is "partial 16S ribosomal RNA". It matches the Rfam family "Bacterial small subunit ribosomal RNA", at positions 524 to 776 of the family's 1533-position model. The record is from RNAcentral.
UACGUAGGGGGCAAGCGUUGUCCGGAAUCAUUGGGCGUAAAGCGCGCGUAGGCGGCCCGGUAAGUCCGCUGUAAAAGUCCAGGGCUCAACCCUGGAAAGCCGGUGGAUACUGUCGGGCUAGAGUCCGGAAGAGGCGAGUGGAACUCCUGGUGUAGCGGUGGAAUGCGCAGAUAUCAGGAAGAACACCAACGGCGAAGGCAGCUCGCUGGGACGGAACUGACGCUGAGGCGCGAAAGCGUGGGGAGCGAACAGG